GUGGGGAAUAUUGGACAAUGGGCGAAAGCCUGAUCCAGCCAUGCCGCGUGUGUGAAGAAGGUCUUCGGAUUGUAAAGCACUUUAAGUUGGGAGGAAGGGCAGUAAGUUAAUACCUUGCUGUUUUGACGUUACCGACAGAAUAAGCACCGGCUAACUUCGUGCCAGCAGCCGCGGUAAUACGAAGGGUGCAAGCGUUAAUCGGAAUUACUGGGCGUAAAGCGCGCGUAGGUGGUUCAGCAAGUUGGAGGUGAAAUCCCCGGGCUCAACCUGGGAACUGCCUCCAAAACUACUGAGCUAGAGUACGGUAGAGGGUAGUGGAAUUUCCUGUGUAGCGGUGAAAUGCGUAGAUAUAGGAAGGAACACCAGUGGCGAAGGCGACUACCUGGACUGAUACUGACACUGAGGUGCGAAAGCGUGGGGAGCAAACAGGAUUAGAUACCCCAGUAGUCC
RNAcentral lists this ribosomal RNA (450 nucleotides) under uncultured bacterium. RNAcentral's name for it is "partial 16S ribosomal RNA". It matches the Rfam family "Bacterial small subunit ribosomal RNA", at positions 354 to 796 of the family's 1533-position model. The record is from RNAcentral.